This 403-nucleotide ribosomal RNA is filed under the name uncultured bacterium. RNAcentral describes it as "partial 16S ribosomal RNA". It matches the Rfam family "Bacterial small subunit ribosomal RNA", at positions 28 to 526 of the family's 1533-position model. The record is from RNAcentral.
GAUGAACGCUGGCGGCGUGCCUAAUACAUGCAAGUCGAACGCAGUGGGGACGGGUGAGUAACCCGUGGGUCACCUCCCAUCAGAGGGGAUAACACUUGGAAACAGGUGCUAAACCGAUACUGAUUGAUGUACCCGCGGUGCAUUAGCUCGUUGGUGAGGUACCGGCUCACCAAGGCCACGUUGCAUAGCUGACCUGGGAGGGUGAUCGGCCACACUGGAACUGAGACACGGCCCAGACUCCUACGGGAGGCAGCAGUAGGGAAUCUUCGGCAAUGGACGAAAGUCUGACCGAGCAACGCCGCGUGAGUGAAGAAGGUUUUCGGAUCGUAAAACUCUGUUGUUAGAGAAGCGGUAUCUAACCAGAAAGCCACGGCUAACUACGUGCCAGCAGCCGCGGUAAUUC